CUUUUCAAGCCAAGGCCCUCUGUCUUCCAUUAAAGCAGUCAUCAAGAGGACUUCCCGUACUUCUGGCUAUGGUGAACAGCAAAGAGAGAGAAGACGCCCUGAAAUCACUAUAGUUGCUGCUGAGCCGCUUCGGCCGUCGUCCUGGUUUCCGAGUGGCGGCCGUGUCCCUCAGCAAGGGCUGGUUUCCCCACCGUCUCCCAUCCCAGGUUCCUGGAGAACAAAUGAGCUUGUUCUG
Molecule: long non-coding RNA, 235 nt
Organism: Gekko japonicus
Lineage: Eukaryota; Metazoa; Chordata; Lepidosauria; Squamata; Gekkonidae
Exons: 3
Source: RefSeq, a predicted model, not a curated record